This is a long non-coding RNA of Hibiscus syriacus, 200 nucleotides long. RefSeq lists it as uncharacterized. The record is from RefSeq and is a predicted model, not a curated record. The transcript is spliced from 2 exons. NCBI's taxonomy places the organism in Eukaryota, Viridiplantae, Streptophyta, Magnoliopsida, Malvales, Malvaceae.
UGCUGCUACAGUAGGCACCGAUGCAAUCGCCACCACUCGUGUUCUAAUCCGUGCCGAGAAUAGUCGCGUUUCAACUCACGCUUUGACGGGUGAAGCCAUUCAUCGAACAUUUACUGGAACCGGGGCAGGAAUGGAUAUCGUUGUCUCGAGUGUCAAGGCUUAUAUUGGCGCAUUAAAUAAGAUGUUGGGAACAAAAUCAG